Long non-coding RNA from Drosophila erecta, 370 nucleotides. RefSeq lists it as uncharacterized. The record is from RefSeq and is a predicted model, not a curated record. Lineage: Eukaryota; Metazoa; Arthropoda; Insecta; Diptera; Drosophilidae. The transcript is spliced from 2 exons.
AUAACAGCUGCUGACGUAAGAAGUAGUUAUGUUCUUGUCCUUCCUGUCGAAUGUUAGUCCGAUACCCAGUUUUUUUUGUCUAGAAAAUAACCUUCUGAAGAAUUGUAGCCGAAACCAACGUGUGUUCGAUCGCCUAGCUACAUUUUACCAUCUUUACCAUUUGCCAAAAAAAAUGGUAAAUGGGCCUUACGCUAUAAUUGUUCCUUUGACACAAUUUGCUGUUGUUUAUAGCAAAUCAUUCCCCCCAUUUGAAUGCUGGGUUGAGGAUUGUUGUGACUACAGGUAUAAAUGGAAACGGUACUUGUAGACUAGUUAAAAUGUACAUAUUCCCGAUGUCGAAUUAAAAAGUAAAAUACUUUUGACCUGUGAA